AGUGGAUGGGGAGCAACCUAGUUGUGCGUGUGUAAAGGUAGUGCCAAGAAAAGCGAUGAUCAUGUUGAAAAUCAAUUCCCGGUACCCGAAACCGACACAGGUGGGCAGGUAGAGAAUACUAAGGGGCGCGAGGUAACUCUCUCCAAGGAACUCGGCAAAAUGACCCCGUAACUUAGGGAGAAGGGGUGCCACCGAGAGGUGGUCGCAGUGAAGAGGCCCAGGCGACUGUUUAGCAAAAACAUAGGUCUCUGCAAACUCGAAAGAGGAGGUAUAGGGGCUGACGCCUGCCCAGUGCCGGAAGGUUAAAGAAGUUGGUCAGUCUUAGGAUGAAGCUAGCGACUGAAGCCCCGGUGAACGGCGGCCGUAACUAAACGGUCCUAAGGUAGCGAAAUUCCUUGUCGGGCAAGUUCCGACCCGCACGAAAGGCGUAACGAUCUGGGCGCUGUCUCGGAGAGAGGCUCGGCGAAAUAGGAUUGUCUGUGAAGAUACGGACUACCUGCAUUUGGACAGAAAGACCCUAUGAAGCUUUACUAUAGCUUGGAAUUGUGUUCGGGCUUCCUGUGCGCAGGAUAGGUGGGAGGCGUAGAAGGUAUUCUUGUGGGGAUACUGGAGCCAACGGUGAGAUACCACUCUCAGGAGGCUAGAAUUCUAACUUAAUUAAGGACAGUUUCAGGUGGGUAGUUUGACUGGGGCGGUCGCCUCCAAAAAGGUAACGGAGCCGUACAAAGGUUCCCUCAGACUGGUUGGAAAUCAGUCGAAGAGUGCAAAGGCAGAAGGGAGCUUGACUGCGAGAAGUACAGUUCGAGCAGGGUGGAAACACGGUCUUAGUGAUCCGACGGUGCUGUGUGGAAGGGCCGUCGCUCAGCGGAUAAAAGUUACUCUAGGAUAACAGGCUGAUCUCCCCCAAGAGUUCACAUCGACGGGGAGGUUUGGCACCUCGAUGUCGGCUCAUCGCAACCUGGGGCGGAAGUACGUCCCAAGGGUUGGGCUGUUCGCCCAUUAAAGCGGUACGUGAGCUGGGUUCAGAACGUCGUGAGACAGUUCGGUCCAUAUCCGAUGUAGGCGUGAGAAUAUUGAGAGGAGCCUUCCUUAGUACGAGAGGACCGGGAAGGACGCACCGCUGGUGUACCUGUUAUGAUGCCAAUUGUAAACGCAGGGUAGCCAAGUGCGGAGAGGAUAACCGCUGAAAGCAUCUAAGUGGGAAGCCCACCUCAAGAUGAGUAUUCUGGUGUAAGGUCACGGGAAGACGACCCGUAAAUAGGCACGAGGUGGAAGUGCAGAGAUGUAUGAAGCCGAAGUGUACUAAUAGACCGUCGGCUUGACC
Molecule: ribosomal RNA, 1324 nt
Filed under: metagenome
Description: bacterial LSU rRNA
Rfam family: Bacterial large subunit ribosomal RNA
Source: RNAcentral